UGUUUUUUUUUUUUUCUGGCGGAAUUCUUUAAUUUAACCUCCCCAUCCCGCUCAGCUGUGUCUUGCUAAGAACAUGAUCACCAGUGUCUACAUCCCUCCAUUCAGUCCGUAUCUCUCCUCUCCUCCGAGCUUGUCAACUACAGCUUGUUACCCUUUGGAGGGACGGUGUUUUAGGGUCACAGAAACACUGAGUGGAAAGUUCAGAGAGUUCCCAUACAUCCCCCUGCACAGCCUCCUCACCAUCAACGUUGGCACCAGAAUGCAGGGUGGGGGCAUGGACAGAAAGAAGGAGGUGCUGAUGCUGGAGAACUUGACCACAGCAGGAUGGAGAAGAUGAAAAUCAAGUCUUACCUCCCCUUCCAGAGAUAACUGCUCACGUAGUUCCAGCCAAUCUCUUUCAAUGCCAAAUAUUUAAGACAUUAUUUUAAUAAAAAUAAUACUCAAUUAUUAUUGAAAACAAAAGGAAAAACCCCUGUAAUCCCACCACUUAGAUAACCAGUGUUACCAUUGUGAUGGCCUUUGUUUUUUUGCCCUGCAUUUAAAGACAAACACUAAAUAUACAUUACGUCACAUGCAUUUUCCAAAAAAAAAAAACAUAGCACAAACUUUAAUUGCACAAGACGGAAAUGAUCGUGCACAGAGAGCACACACAUAUCCCACAUUUCAAUCUUAGUUAUAAACAUUGAUGAAAAUCAAAUAAAAUAUUGGGAAUAGACUCCAGCACUGUACUUUAAGAAAGGUACUGUGACCAGGUGAAGUUCAUUUGGGAAUGCAGAGAUAAUAAAAUAUUAGGAAAUCUAUUAAUAUAAUCAAUCUUAUAUGAAAAUUCCAUAUGAUUAUUUUGAUACUGAGAAGCCAUAUGAAAAUUCAUAAUGUGAUUAAAAAAACCCUCAAACCAACAGAAUUAUGCUUAAUUAAACACAAUGCUGUUAAAGUCAGAGAAAGACAAGUGUUGCUGUGAUCUCCUUGUUAAAAAGUUCUUGUCAAUACAAUGAACAAGAUAAUUAAGCAAGAUGUCUAAAUAUUGGAGAGAAAAAGGCAAAAUUGUCUUCCUUUGAAGAUGAUGCGAUUGCCUACUAAGAGAAUCGUUUAAAAACUUUUGAAAGUAAUAAAGUUCAAUAUAACGUACAGGUAUAAAAUAAAUAUACAUAACAUGCAUAGUUUCUUAUAUAGCAGCAACAAUCAGAAAAUAUAAUGGAAAAGAUAUUGAUGCUCACAAUAGCAUCAAUGAAAUAAAAAUACCUAAGAAUACAUGUAAACAAAACAAAAAACAAAACAGAGUAGAAUCUUUAUGAAACUCUCCUGAGAGACUCUCAUAACACGGUUCAAAUACAUGAGAACAAAAAUCUUGCUACUGGGUGGUGUAUUCGUUUCCCUGGCUGCCAUAACAAAUUACCACAAACUGAGUGCCUGAGAAAUUUGCUCUCACAGUUCUGGAGGCCAGAAUUCUGAAAUCAAAGUGUCAGCAGAAUCUCAGAAGGCUCUAGGAGAGGAUCUGGCUUGUGGACACAUCAUCCCAAACUCUGCCUCUGUCAUCACAUAGUGUUUUUCUUGUGCUUCUGUCUGUAAGUCUCUGCUCCUCUUCUUAUAAGGACACCAGUCACGUUGGAUUACUGCCCAUCCUAAUGACCUCCUCUUAACUUGACUACAUCUGCAAAGACAUUAUUUCCAAAUAAGGUCAUAUUCACAGGUGCUGGGGGUUAGGACUUCAGCAUAUCUUUUGGAAGGGGACACAAUUCAACCCAUAAGAGAUGGGAAGACUCAAUGUUAAAAAGAUGCACAUUUUCAAACCAAUCUGUAAAUCCUAUGCGAUCUCAAUAAAAAUCCCAAAGGGAUUCCAAGUGGAUUCUGAAACUCAGAGGGGGAGGGGAGCAAUAUGAAAAUAGCCUAAGUGUGUGUGAUACUAAUGGAGGAGCAGAUGGAUCAGUGCAACACGAUAGUGCAGACCCAAUUGAGCGAGUGUGUAUGUGUGUGUUAUGGGUUGAAUUGUGUCCCUCUAAAAUCCACAUGUCGAAAUUCUAACCCACAGUACCUCAGAAUUUAACUGUAUUUGGAGAUGGGGUCUUUAAGGAGGUAUUUAAAUUAAAUGAGAUCGUUAGGUUUGGCUUUAAUACAAUAUGAUUGGUGUCCUUAUAAGAAGAGGAGAUUAGGACACAGACACGCACAGAGGUAAGCCCAAGUGAAUAUGCA
Equus caballus (horse) is the source of this 2190-nucleotide non-coding RNA. The record is from RefSeq and is a predicted model, not a curated record. NCBI's taxonomy places the organism in Eukaryota, Metazoa, Chordata, Mammalia, Perissodactyla, Equidae.